UACGUAGGGUGCGAGCGUUGUCCGGAAUUAUUGGGCGUAAAGAGCUCGUAGGUGGUUUGUCGCGUUGUUCGUGAAAUCUCACGGCUUAACUGUGAGCGUGCGGGCGAUACGGGCAGACUUGAGUACUGCAGGGGAGACUGGAAUUCCUGGUGUAGCGGUGAAAUGCGCAGAUAUCAGGAGGAACACCGGUGGCGAAGGCGGGUCUCUGGGGCCGAAACUGACGCUGAGGAGCGAAAGCGUGGGGAGCAAACAGG
Molecule: ribosomal RNA, 254 nt
Filed under: uncultured bacterium
Lineage: Bacteria
Description: partial 16S ribosomal RNA
Rfam family: Bacterial small subunit ribosomal RNA
Source: RNAcentral